Molecule: ribosomal RNA, 465 nt
Filed under: uncultured bacterium
Lineage: Bacteria
Description: partial 16S ribosomal RNA
Rfam family: Bacterial small subunit ribosomal RNA
Source: RNAcentral
GACGAACGCUGGCGGCGUGCUUAACACAUGCAAGUCGUACGGUAAGGCCCUUUCGGGGGUACACGAGUGGCGAACGGGGGAGUAACACGGGAGUAACCUGCCCACAACUUUGGGAUAACGCUAGGAAACUGGUGCUAAUACUGGAUAUGUGCUGCUGCUGCAUGGGUGGGGUUGGAAAACUCCGGCGGUUGUGGAUGGACUCGCGGCCUAUCAGCUUGUUGGUGGGGUAGUGGCCUACCAAGGCGGCGACGGGUAGCCGGCCUGAGAGGGGGACCGGCCACAAUGGGGCGGAGAUACGGCCCAGACUCCUACGGGAGGCAGCAGCGGGGAAGAUUGCACAAUGGGCGCAAGCCUGAUGCAGCAACGCCGCUGGCGGGACGAAGGACUUCGGGUUGUAAACCGCUUUCAGCAGGGACGAAGCUGUUUGUGACGGUACCUGCAGAAGAAGCACCGGCUAACUACGUG